Molecule: ribosomal RNA, 329 nt
Filed under: uncultured eukaryote
Lineage: Eukaryota
Description: partial 18S ribosomal RNA
Rfam family: Eukaryotic small subunit ribosomal RNA
Source: RNAcentral
CCCUUAGAUGUCCUGGGCCGCACGCGCGCUACACUGAGUGUCUGAGAAACGAGUCUGCCUGGUCCGGCAAGGUCUAGGUAAUCGCUAAAAGACACAUCAUGCUUGGGAUAGAUUAUUGCAAAUAUUAAUCUUGAACGAGGAAUUCCUAGUAAGCGCAAGUCAACAGCUUGCGUUGAUUACGUCCCUGCCCUUUGUACACACCGCCCGUCGCUACUACUGAUUGGAUGUUUAAGCGAGGUUCUCGAACUGCUAGCGACUUAGCUUCGGUGAGGUCGCAGUGUGGGAAGUGAACCUAGCUUUGGUGUCUAGAGGAAGUAAAAGUCGUAACA